RNAcentral lists this ribosomal RNA (253 nucleotides) under uncultured bacterium. Its description in RNAcentral is "partial 16S ribosomal RNA". It matches the Rfam family "Bacterial small subunit ribosomal RNA", at positions 524 to 776 of the family's 1533-position model. The record is from RNAcentral.
UACGUAGGUGACCAGCGUUGUCCGGAUUUACUGGGCGUAAAGAGCGCGCAGGCGGUCGUUCAAGUCGAGUGUGAAAGCCCCCGGCUCAACUGGGGAACUGCACAGGAAACUAGCGGGCUUGAAUCCGGGAGAGGGAUGCGGAAUUCCCGGUGUAGCGGUGAAAUGCGCAGAUAUCGGGAGGAACACCAGUAGCGAAGGCGGCUCGCUGGGCCAUUCCUGACGCUGAGACGCGAAAGCAUGGGGAGCGAACAGG